UACGAAGGGUGCUAGCGUUGUUCGGAAUCAUUGGGCGUAAAGCGUAUGUAGGCGGUUUGGCAAGUCAGUUGUGAAAGCCCUAGGCUUAACCUAGGAAUUGCAACCGAAACUGCCUUUCUUGAAUUUGGUGGGGGAUAGUGGAAUUCUUAGUGUAGGGGUGAAAUCCGUAGAUAUUAAGAGGAACACCGGCGGCGAAAGCGACUAUCUACGCCAAUAUUGACGCUGAGAUACGAAAGCGUGGGGAGCAAACAGG
RNAcentral lists this ribosomal RNA (253 nucleotides) under uncultured bacterium. RNAcentral's name for it is "partial 16S ribosomal RNA". It matches the Rfam family "Bacterial small subunit ribosomal RNA", at positions 524 to 776 of the family's 1533-position model. The record is from RNAcentral.